Long non-coding RNA from Myripristis murdjan (pinecone soldierfish), 1303 nucleotides. RefSeq lists it as uncharacterized. NCBI's taxonomy places the organism in Eukaryota, Metazoa, Chordata, Actinopteri, Holocentriformes, Holocentridae. The transcript is spliced from 2 exons. The record is from RefSeq and is a predicted model, not a curated record.
UGCUCUUGAACACUCCUCCCAAUGAGAUCUCCCCCUGGGGGAGCUUGGGUAUGAUUUCUGAACCCUGAAGUUUGCCGUGAAACAGCAUGUGACAUCAAAGCAAGUUCCUGGCUACAACAAAAACCUUAUGUCAGCCACGGACUGUUCCUUCCCACAGCCUUUGAUGCAGACAUGAGUGCAGACAUGAGUGUUUGGCGUAUCGCCUGGCCAUGGUUCCUUGCUCCUUUAGAAGUCUUCUGGUCGAUGUGGCCACGAAUCCCCUGCGUCCAGCCUCCACCAGGCAGACCUGGUGUUUUGUUUUCGAGCUCUGCAUGGGACUGUGAGCCUUCUGAAGGGCCCCAUUUCACUUUACUUGAGAGUACAAGCCCAUUUCUCCCAGCUAAGGUUUUUAUGACACAAGCCUAAUGUCUUUAAAUACGCAAAAAAAAAAAAACCUCACAAAAAGGAAUGUUUGUCCAGCACAUGUGGAGAAGACACAACUGGACAGAAGCAGUAGUCUUUGAUUUGAAAGAGUACAGAGGAUCGGCUAGUGGAUGGGCAGAUAAUGUACAUAAUGUUAGCCUUCUAAAUAGUGAAGUUUGAUAGGAAUUUUCACUAUUGGCAAAAGUUAUUCUUAUUCAACCGUUGCCCAAACCUACUGUUAGACCUAAACUUACCCUUAAUCAAUGUUUUAGCUGUUUCAGUUUCAUUUAACCAAUGUAUGAGCUGCCGAAACAAACUCUAACUGGUUUUACUUGCCAAAAUUUAGCCUAAUUCGUCAAUAGCACCAACCACUUUGUGCAGUUCUAGUCACAUUCCUGUGAAUAUCUGGGAACCACUACCCUGGAGACCACUGCAACAUUUUGGCAGCUUGUAGGCAAGGCUUCCUGAGCAAAGUCCACUGGUUGCCCCCUUAGUCCAGCCAGUGGACUUGGGGGGCAGCAAUGAGCACACUUUCCAUUUUUGCACACAUGGAAUAGGUGAAGAAGAGAAGACCUGCACACGCCAUAUAAAGAUAUGAUUUUAGACAGCAAUCUUUAUGUCAUGCAACAGGAAUGAUUCAAGGAUAGAGCAAAUGUCUUUACUUUGGCAAAUUUUGCUUGAAAGGAAUGUAAAGCCUUGUGGAUGAACAAUGCUGGCCUAAACCUGAACACUGGCUAACCUUUUCAUGUGACAAACACAUGAAAUGUGUGUGCCCAUGUCCUGCUGUUGUCACAACAUGUUUCUGUGGUGCAAUUCAUAUUACACAUGACUAUCUUAUCAGCAUUUCAGAGUUGCUUCUCAUUUCACAAAAAAAAAAAAAAAACACCUUGCGAAAUAAAAA